Long non-coding RNA from Sapajus apella (tufted capuchin), 161 nucleotides. RefSeq lists it as uncharacterized. The transcript is spliced from 3 exons. Lineage: Eukaryota; Metazoa; Chordata; Mammalia; Primates; Cebidae. The record is from RefSeq and is a predicted model, not a curated record.
AUCUUUUUAUAAAUAGGACCUCAAAAGCAAAGACACAAAAGCAAAAAUAUACAAAUAGGAUUAUAGCAAACUAAAAACCUAUGCACAGCAAAGGAAGCAAUCAACAGAGUAAAGAGGCAACCUACAGAAUGGGAGAAAAUAUUUACAAAGUAUACAUCUGA